UAGCUGGAUGAUGAGGAGCUCUCCUCGUACAUCCGGGCCAGGUUGGAUCUCGACUUCAACCAGGUUGUCUCCACCAUCACCGCACGGACUGAGCCCCUAACCCUAGGUGAACUUUACACCCAGCUUGUUGGUUUUGAGC
This 139-nucleotide small nucleolar RNA is filed under the name Setaria italica (foxtail millet). RNAcentral's name for it is "Small nucleolar RNA Z247". It matches the Rfam family "Small nucleolar RNA Z247". From Rfam's summary of the family: Z247 is a member of the C/D class of snoRNA which contain the C (UGAUGA) and D (CUGA) box motifs. Lineage: Eukaryota; Viridiplantae; Streptophyta; Magnoliopsida; Poales; Poaceae. The record is from Rfam by way of RNAcentral.